GGGGUUGUAGCUCAGUGGUAGAGCGCUUGCCUUGCAUGCAUGGGGCCCUGGGUUUGAUCCUUAGCACCA
This 69-nucleotide transfer RNA is filed under the name Ictidomys tridecemlineatus (thirteen-lined ground squirrel). RNAcentral describes it as "Spermophilus tridecemlineatus (thirteen-lined ground squirrel) tRNA". It matches the Rfam family "tRNA". Rfam says of the family: Transfer RNA (tRNA) molecules are approximately 80 nucleotides in length. Lineage: Eukaryota; Metazoa; Chordata; Mammalia; Rodentia; Sciuridae. RNAcentral also lists the same sequence under 1 other name. The record is from Rfam by way of RNAcentral.